Molecule: transfer RNA, 70 nt
Filed under: Caliraja stellulata (starry skate)
Lineage: Eukaryota; Metazoa; Chordata; Chondrichthyes; Rajiformes; Rajidae
Description: tRNA-Ile
Source: RNAcentral
GGAAGCGUGCCUGAAUUAAAGGAUCACUUUGAUAGAGUGAACCAUGAAUGUUAAAAUCAUUCCACUUCCU